RNAcentral lists this unclassified non-coding RNA (4175 nucleotides) under Pyrobaculum sp. M1T. RNAcentral's name for it is "partial miscellaneous RNA". The stretch from base 1 to 1513 matches the Rfam family "Archaeal small subunit ribosomal RNA". Lineage: Archaea; Thermoproteati; Thermoproteota; Thermoprotei; Thermoproteales; Thermoproteaceae. The record is from RNAcentral.
UUCCGGUUGAUCCUGCCGGACCCGACCGCUAUCGGGGUAGGGCUAAGCCAUGCGAGUCGCGCGCCCGGGGGCGCCCGGGAGCGGCGCACGGCUCAGUAACACGUGCCUAACCUAUCCUCGGGAGGGGGAUACCCCCGGGAAACUGGGGUCAAUCCCCCAUAGGGGAAGGGAGCUGGAAGGCCCCUUCCCCGAAAGGGACGGCGGCCGAUCCGUCGCCGUCCGCCCGAGGGUGGGGGCACGGCCCAUCAGGUAGUUGGCGGGUUAAAGGCCCGCCAAGCCGAAGACGGGUAGGGGCGGUGAGAGCCGCGAGCCCCGAGAUCGGCACUGAGACAAGGGCCGAGGCCCUACGGGGUGCAGCAGGCGCGAAUACUCCGCAAUGCGGGCAACCGCGACGGGGCUACCCCGAGUGCCGGGCGAAGAGCCCGGCUUUUGCCCGGUGUAAAAAGCCGGGCGAAUAAGCGGGGGGCAAGUCUGGUGUCAGCCGCCGCGGUAAUACCAGCCCCGCGAGACCGGGGCGCCCCGCGGAUGAGUUAUAACCCUCCUCCCACCCAUCUUCCGUGGAAGAAGACAGGCUGUAUAUAGCGGGGGUCAUCAUGGGGGAUGGCAUGCUCUACUACAAGGCCGAUAAAGGCUAUGAGAUAAAGAUAACAGAUAAAGACGAGAACUACAUAAGAUACCUCGCCGCGCUUAUUGGCAUGGUUUACGGCGUGGAGCCGCGCAUAUCGCGAACCGCCCACAAAAAUGCCUGGCAGCUACGUAUCUACAGGAAGAGCGUAUAUCUUGCAGUGCUACAAGACGUAGAGAAAGCUGUAAAAGAGCCAAAUAGGCAUACAGUAGGAGGCUUAUACGACGCUGAGGGUAGCUGGAACCCCGCGAAAAGAAAGCUGACCUUCUCGAACAAAGAUCCCCAGAUAAUAGCCCUAGUUGUGCAGUUCUUGAAACUACAUAACAUAAAAUUUUCGGUAUACCAGAGGAGGAAGGCUGAUCACAGCUGGUACGUCGUGGAGACUUACAGGCGACAAGCGGAGCGCCUCAUGUCAAUACUCGAUCUCAGACACCCCAAAUGGAACCCCCACAAACCCUAACAAACCCGCGGGAGCCCCGGCGCGUGUGGUCGGGGUGUUUACUGGGCUUAAAGCGCCCGUAGCCGGCCCGGCAAGUCGCUCCUGAAAUCCCCGGGCUCAACCCGGGGGCGGGGGGCGAUACUGCCGGGCUAGGGGGCGGGAGAGGCCGCCGGUACUCCGGGGGUAGGGGCGAAAUCCGUUAAUCCCCGGAGGACCACCAGUGGCGAAAGCGGGCGGCCAGAACGCGCCCGACGGUGAGGGGCGAAAGCCGGGGGAGCAAACCGGGCCCAGGCCAGCAAGGAUUUAAGGGGCACCCCAUUGAUCUACAUGGGUUGCGAUAAGUAUGGAGUUCUGAGGGUGUUGCCGUUUAUACUAUCGGACGGAGGAAUCUACAAGGCAAGAGAAAUAUAUUUCACAACUACCGAUGUUGCGUUAGUCGAUCACUUCAGGAGAGUUGCGUCAGAGACGUUCAACUACGGAGGCUACGUAGUCAGAAGGAGCAACGGCGCAUACGUGGUAAAAAUAAAGGGCUAUGACUACGUCAGAUGCGUAGAAGGCGUAAUGCCCGAUAUCUUGUACAAAAACGACAUAAGCCGCGCCAUCGCUUUGCCCAGCGACUUGUUCAGAGAUCAAGCUCUCGCAAAGUGGUUCUUAAAGGUAUAUGCCUCUUGCGAUGGAGGCGUGUCAAUUAUGCGCGGAAAAAAGGGAAAUGCGAUAUUCUACGUUAGAAGAAUAUUUAUCACAACCAAAAACCCCCACCUAAGAAGCCAAAUCCGCGAAUUGUUCAAAACCCUCCGGUAUACGCCUCAAGACGACAAAGAUAAACACGUAUACCUAUCAAGAAGAGAAGACAUAAUCAAAUACGCAAGAGAGGUAAGAUUCCUAGAAGAUGUGAAGGUGACUGGGAACUCCAAAAGAUUCCGAGGCCUAGACAAAAACCAAGUGCUUGACCUCGUUGUAAAGUCUUACGAAAAUCCCCACCUACUAGAUCCUUUUUUCAGCCCUUUCAGCCCUAAUUUUUAUCCUCACUUGCUGGCCUGGCCCGGGCUCAAAGGGGAUUAGAUACCCCUGUAGUCCCGGCCGUAAACGAUGCGGGCUAGCUGUCGGUCGGGCUUAGGGCCCGGCCGGUGGCGAAGGGAAACCGUUAAGCCCGCCGCCUGGGGAGUACGGCCGCAAGGCUGAAACUUAAAGGAAUUGGCGGGGGGGCACCACAAGGGGUGAAGCUUGCGGCUUAAUUGGAGUCAACGCCGGAAACCUCACCCGGGGCGACAUCAGGAUGAAGGCCAGGCUAACGACCUUGCCGGACGAGCUGAGAGGAGGUGCAUGGCCGUCGUCAGCUCGUGCCGUGAGGUGUCCGGUUAACGGGAGGGGGGCGGCCAAAGUUAUAUACCUCCUCAUCCUCCUCAAGUCAUGGGGGUGGCUGGAGUACCUCGCCGGCCUUGUGGCAGGUGACGGGACGUUUCAUUACAGCAAAGGAAAUGGCUCAUAUCGCGUGACCAUAGCCGACUCGGAUCGGGCGUUUCUUGAACAUAUAAGGGCUAAGACCUAUGAAAGCCUGGGCUACAGCGGCUAUAUCUACAAAAUACUGGGCAAAAACGCAUGGGCGCUUCGCUAUACCCGCAAAGCUCUUUACACGGCUCUAUUAGAAAGGAUCCCGACGUUGCUUGUAAGCCCCACUCUCGACUUCGCCGCCGGCAUAAUAGACGCGGAGGGCAGUCUCCAGAAGCCGAGAAGAGGCAGUCUGCGCAUAGUAGUCGUCAAUACAAAGAUCGAGUUGCUAGAGGCUGUGCGGAAUGCCUUAGAACCUAUCGUCCCGGGGCUGAAGAUAAGGCCAUACGGAAAGCCCAAGGGCAAGGAAAAGCAGAGGUACAGAUUAAUAGUAUACGGAAAAGAAAACGUGCAAAAGGUGCUUGCAACAACCCCCCUCCAGCACCCUAAGUUCAAACCCGUUUUUUAGACCUAUUAAACCUAACCAAAGGCCGCCCCCUCCCGGCCGAGAGUCCGGCAACGAGCGAGACCCCCGCCCCUAGUUGCUACCCCGUCCUACGGGACGGGGGGCACACUAGGGGGACUGCCGGCGUAAGCCGGAGGAAGGAGGGGGCCACGGCAGGUCAGUAUAGGGGCCUAUCCGCAAGGAGGGCCCCGCUGAGGCCCCGAAAGCCGUGGCCCCCAGGUAGGGUAUUAAUAAAAGAAUAGUAUCAGGCGUGAAGACUUGGGACUACCUAUGCGGCUUAGUAGCAGCAGAUGGACACCUCGACGAGGAUGGUAGCAUAACAAUAUCCCAAAAAGAUAAGAGAUUCGCGGAAAGGAUAGUAGAGCUGUUGAAAGGAGCUGGGAUACAGAUAAGUUCGGUGUUCUACGACAAAGGCGCCGGUGUCUGGAAAAUAAAGAUCAAAGACAAAGCCUUUUACCACUACUUAAUCAGCAACGGCGUCCCGCCAGGCAGAAAGGCGCACCGCAUAAUGCCGCCGAGCCCCGCAGUUGAUCCCUUAUGGUACAUUGCAGGGUUCAUAGACGGAGACGGCUGGUUAGAACAAGUGGUCAAAAAGGCCAAGGGCAGGACCUACUACUACAUACGCAUAGGCCUAAAAACCAAGAGCAAAAACCUCAGGGACUGGGUCUUACAAGCCCUGGCCGGCCUGGGCAUCCGGGCCAACAAGGCAGAUAAAAAAACGGAUACGAAGUCCACAUAGACAGCGCAGACGUCUGGCGCAUCAUCCCAUACCUCCAAAACCCAUCCCACCUCGACAAGGCCAGGUCGGCCAGGGACGACAGGCUCUAGCCUUCCUCCAGCCCUACCUGGGGCCACGGCCGGGAGACCCCGGGGCUGCACGCGAGCUGCAAUGGCGGGGACAGCGGGAUCCGACGCCGAAAGGGGGAGGCAAUCCCGUAAACCCCGCCCCAGUAGGGAUCGAGGGCUGCAACUCGCCCUCGUGAACGUGGAAUCCCUAGUAACCGCGUGUCACCAACGCGCGGUGAAUACGUCCCUGCCCCUUGCACACACCGCCCGUCGCACCACCCGAGGGAGCCCUCUGCGAGGCCCCUCGCCGAAGAGGUGGGGGGACGAGCAGGGGGCUCCCAAGGGGGGUGAAGUCGUAACAAGGUAACCGU